This 633-nucleotide long non-coding RNA is filed under the name Callithrix jacchus (white-tufted-ear marmoset). Its description in RNAcentral is "lncRNA (ENSCJAG00000070579.1)". The record is from RNAcentral. Lineage: Eukaryota; Metazoa; Chordata; Mammalia; Primates; Cebidae.
GAAGCCCAGAAUCAAAAUGGACACUCAGUUGGAGCAGCCACACUAGCCUGCCAGACAUAGGUGACAUAUCCAAGUGCUUGUCCUUCAUCAGAUGUUUCUAUAAGCAGCAGAGCAGAAAGCUAUAAUAUGUAUUCAUUCGUAAUGUGUCAUUCUGAAUGUAUUAAGGACAACUGACUACACAUGUCACAGGUAAUUAUUCUAAGGAGUAACAGUCAUAUCAUUUUAAGUACCCUUGUAUGCAAUUAUCUCUAUGGAGGAAUAAAAAGAACAGGUACUUCUGGAACAGAGGCUACAUCUUCUUCCAAGUUUUUAAUGGGUUCAGAACAUUUUGGCCAUGUCUACAUGAUAAAAAUAAAAUGUUUUCCCCACUCAAAGCAAUUGCAGAUUUGUGAAUGUGGGGUGUGUGUGUGUGUGUGUGUGAGAGAGAGAGAGCGAGAGAUAGAGAGAGAGAAAGAGAGAGAGAGAGAGAGAGAGAGAGAGAGAAAUGCAAAAAUGGCUAACCUCCCCCUGACCUACCUUCUCAUUUCUGAGACUGAAACUGAAAAUCCCUUGCUUGGGACACUAGGGAUCUGUUCUGUCUGGGCAUGCAGCCAUAUUGGGGCAUGCCCAAGGGGACUGUGCCUGAGCUCCUAA